RNAcentral lists this transfer-messenger RNA (385 nucleotides) under Candidatus Nomurabacteria bacterium. It matches the Rfam family "transfer-messenger RNA". From Rfam's summary of the family: Bacterial tmRNA, also known as 10Sa RNA or SsrA, is named for its dual tRNA and mRNA-like properties. Its role is to liberate the mRNA from a stalled ribosome. The record is from RNAcentral. Lineage: Bacteria; Candidatus Nomuraibacteriota.
GGGGCUGAAAUUGCUUCGACGAGUGGAAUUUAACAGAUUGAUUCAGCGAGCAGAUGAUUACUUUAUAAUCAAUAUAAGUGCAAAUAACACUUUUAUAGCGAAGGUCAAGGCGUUUUUCGCGCCAAAAAUGGCUUUUGCGCCAGUUGCCGCUUAAUUUUGGCAACCGUCUAACGUUUGAUGCGAUAUAGAACGUUCGGCGUCACUUUUUAUCGCUCAGGUCCCGUGUGGUUUCGUGACGCACGUGGUCGAAACUCUUCGCGAACUUAACAUGUUCGGCUUUGUGAUUUUCCAUGGAGCAUGCUAAGUAUCUUGAAAGUCACUAGGCUUCGUAGACGGUCAAUAGGUUACCAUUCGGACGCGGGGUCAGUACCCGCCAGCUCCACCA